GAUGAACGCUGGCGGCGUGCCUAAUACAUGCAAGUCGAGCGAACGGACGAGAAGCUUGCUUCUCUGAUGUUAGCGGCGGACGGGUGAGUAACACGUGGAUAACCUACCUAUAAGACUGGGAUAACUUCGGGAAACCGGAGCUAAUACCGGCUAAUAUUUUGAACCGCAUGGUUCAAAAGUGAAAGACGGUCUUGCUGUCACUUAUAGAUGGAUCCGCGCUGCAUUAGCUAGUUGGUAAGGUAACGGCUUACCAAGGCAACGAUGCAUAGCCGACCUGAGAGGGUGAUCGGCCACACUGGAACUGAGACACGGUCCAGACUCCUACGGGAGGCAGCAGUAGGGAAUCUUCCGCAAUGGGCGAAAGCCUGACGGAGCAACGCCGCGUGAGUGAUGAAGGUCUUCGGAUCGUAAAACUCUGUUAUUAGGGAAGAACAGAUGUGUAAGUAACUGUGCACAUCUUGACGGUACCUAAUCAGAAAGCCACGGCUAACUACGUG
RNAcentral lists this ribosomal RNA (497 nucleotides) under uncultured bacterium. RNAcentral's name for it is "partial 16S ribosomal RNA". It matches the Rfam family "Bacterial small subunit ribosomal RNA", at positions 28 to 507 of the family's 1533-position model. The record is from RNAcentral.